UAGCUCAGUUGGUAGAGCAUGAAACUCUUAAUCUCAGGGUCGUGAGUUCAGGUCCCAU
Molecule: transfer RNA, 58 nt
Filed under: Cricetulus griseus (Chinese hamster)
Lineage: Eukaryota; Metazoa; Chordata; Mammalia; Rodentia; Cricetidae
Rfam family: tRNA
About the family: Transfer RNA (tRNA) molecules are approximately 80 nucleotides in length. Their secondary structure includes four short double-helical elements and three loops (D, anti-codon, and T loops).
Source: Rfam by way of RNAcentral